Molecule: long non-coding RNA, 769 nt
Organism: Musa acuminata AAA Group (dessert banana)
Lineage: Eukaryota; Viridiplantae; Streptophyta; Magnoliopsida; Zingiberales; Musaceae
Exons: 3
Source: RefSeq, a predicted model, not a curated record
AGGCGGCGAACUGCUCUUCCAGCUUAAAUAGCCAAGGGGAAAGGCGCGCAGGUCAGGGUCACGACCGCGUAGCACGUUAGCAGAACGUGGGCCUAACCCGUACGUGAGCCGCAGCAACCGUCGGAUGAGCCGCAAACGGUCGAGAUCGGAGGCGGGGAGAUGCGCUGCGGAAAGUGGGACGAAGGCUGAUGGGGCGUCGGUCGCGUCGGGUCGGUGGAGGGUGAUUCGGCGAGUACUCGGCGGGGAGUUCAGAUGGGCUUGCACGUGUGGGACGACCUCGGUGCGUGCGGUCACCGACGGCUUCGGUACUGGGGGAUCGGACGCGAUCGCAUGGAUCCCAGGACGGUGUCGGGGACGGACGAGACAGUGACAGCGGCGAAUCAGGUUGCGCCACGCUUCAAAUUUUCUUUUAUGGCCUGCGGGGAUCAGAAAAAGGAAGAAAAAAUAGAGGUUUAUGCUGAUCAACUAAAGUCUCGGAAGGCUACUCUUGUGGAGUCCUUGUUUGAUGAAUGAAGGGUUGGUGCAAAGCAUGGUGUAAUACAAAAAUGGGUACCAACCACUUUAUUCCUCCUGGUUUGAAGGACUACUUGUCUUGGCAGCACACGGAGGCAUGGACUUGUUAUUUAAUUCCACAAGAUAAUGCAGUUCUCGCAGAAAGUACGUUCAGCGUGGAUCAUAUCAUGCCGCAUCAGACGACAAGGAUCAUGCAGCAGUACAGUUAUUGCGUCACUUCACUGUCCAGCCAAGCAAUUCAAUAUGAUCGAGAAGC